GAUGAACGCUGGCGGCGUGCCUAACACAUGCAAGUCGAACGAGAAGUCAACUUCUGAUUCCUUCGGGAUGAGGAGGUUGGCAGAAAGUGGCGAACGGGUGAGUAACGCGUGGGUAAUCUACCCUGUAAGUGGGGGAUAACCCUCCGAAAGGAGGGCUAAUACCGCAUAAUAUCUUCACUUCUAAAAGAAGAGAAGAUUAAAGAUGGCCUCUGUCUUAAGCUAUCGCUUCAGGAUGAGCCUGCGUCCUAUUAGUUAGUUGGUGGGGUAAUGGCCUACCAAGACCACAAUGGGUAGCCGGUCUGAGAGGAUGUACGGCCACACUGGGACUGAGAUACGGCCCAGACUCCUACGGGAGGCAGCAGUGGGGAAUAUUGCGCAAUGGGGGAAACCCUGACGCAGCGACGCCGCGUGGAUGAUGAAGGCCUUUGGGUUGUAAAAUCCUGUUUUGGGGGAAGAAACCUUAAGGGUCCAAUAAACCCUUAAAC
Molecule: ribosomal RNA, 485 nt
Filed under: uncultured bacterium
Lineage: Bacteria
Description: bacterial SSU rRNA
Rfam family: Bacterial small subunit ribosomal RNA
Source: RNAcentral